Long non-coding RNA from Rhipicephalus microplus (southern cattle tick), 216 nucleotides. The record is from RefSeq and is a predicted model, not a curated record. Lineage: Eukaryota; Metazoa; Arthropoda; Arachnida; Ixodida; Ixodidae.
CCGCCAUCAAAGAGGCACAAACGGGCACUGGAGGGGGUCGUCUGCCAGGCUUCCGUGGUCGCGUGUUGCAACUCACCGGGUUGGCACGCUUCGGUGGCGUCUUCGGUUCCCUCGAAUAUCAACAGCAGGCGGAUGUUCCCGCUCCUGCAAUGGAGGUCGAGGUGGAAGCCACUGAAGCGGCUGCAGCAGGUGACAGUGACACAGCCACACGUAAGC